UACGAGGGGUCCAAGCGUUGUUCGGAAUCAUUGGGCGUAAAGCGGGUGUAGGCGGCCUAACAAGUCAGAAGUGAAAGCCCCGGGCUCAACCUGGGAAGUGCUUUUGAAACUGUUAGGCUUGAGUGUGGUAGAGGAAAGUAGAAUUCCAGGUGUAGUGGUGAAAUACGUAGAUAUCUGGAGGAACACCGGAGGUGAAGACG
RNAcentral lists this ribosomal RNA (200 nucleotides) under uncultured bacterium. Its description in RNAcentral is "partial 16S ribosomal RNA". It matches the Rfam family "Bacterial small subunit ribosomal RNA", at positions 524 to 723 of the family's 1533-position model. The record is from RNAcentral.